GCUCCUGGACUCGGUUUUCCUCGUCUGUGAAAGGGACAAUAACACCUAUGCUGUAGCUAUACAGAUGUGGCUGUAAAAUGCCUGGCAUGUGGAACAUCUCUUAUGAUUAAAGGGUAGUAAGGGUCAAGGCUUCGGGAAAAGAUGGACCUGGGAGAUACAGUGGACUAGAAAGGUGGGGUGGGAAGAGGAAGGCAUGAUCUGCUUGUGACGUGCAGGAGGAGCUGGCAGGCGGCUCCCACCGGGCAAGGAGAUCAGGACUGGAAGAUGAGAAAGGAGAAUAGCAUCGGAUCCUCCUAGAGAUUUGGAGGCCAGGCCGGAGCAGCAGCUGAAUGAAGGAAGACAGGUUCACCUCGCUAUCCCUGAAAUAGGAAGCAAGACUCUUGCUCUACACAGGCUGCCCUGGCUCAAGAAGGCUGGGGCCCAUCACCCUUUCAUGGACAGUGGUGCCUUGUCCUGACAUGGCCCAGGCCUGGCUGUUGGACUAGGCUGCAGUCUCUCUUGAGGGCACGUAUCCCACAGGGAUGGUGCAGGCCCCAGCAGGUGCAGGACAGCCCAGCUGCCAUCAAGCAAACCAGAAUCUCACAGUAGCACACGAGAAGGCCCCAGAGGACCCGCCAACCUUAGUGUUCACAAAGCGCUGACCCUGGCAAAGUGCCUGUGCAUCUGAUGAGGGCAAGUGGGCCGCAGGUCUCGCUGGUCCGGGGCCCCGGAGUUGAACAAUGGAGAAGAUUCAUCUCAUUGUCCCACGUUCCUGAUGUUACACUGAAAGCCCUGAGAACCUCAAAUGGAUGACAUCAAGAAAGGAUCAUGUUCCAGUAUUUCUGCGUUUGAUUUUUAAAGUCAGCUCAUAACCCUGUUAGGGGUUUUGAACUAAGGUAGCACUGCCCAUGUGACUCAUCAGCCCCCCCCCCCCCACACACACACAAAGGCAGUCACUGGCAGGAAAAUGAGACUGCUCACCGCCCACGAUCACAACGAGACAACCAAAAAUGAAUUUACAGGAGAACCUGGAGUUCCCAUAAGUAUAAAAUAUGUGAAGCUACCCAGGACAAGUCUCAGGGAGAAAGACACCAUCUAGAUUCUGGGUUAGCUCUUCACUGAUGGCACGCCAUCCUCUGCUUAAAUGUUGUGAAAUGUUUAUUUGGUGAAGAAACUGGUAAUUUCUUGGGGUGAGCGAGUAUGAAGGUCACAGCAUUGCCCAUGAAUAAUCUUGCCAAUAAUGUUUAACCUGAAUCUAAUUAAGACUUACUUUCCAGUUCACAGUGAAUACAGAGUAUGAAGGAAAAACUUAAGAGUGCCAGACAGAAAUAACCUGACAAACUGAAAUUGUGGGAAGGGCAGGUAGUUACUGGCAUUGCUGUCAUGGCACCCAUUCCCUAUCCAUUUGUUCUUUGCCCACAUCCAUAUAAAGCAGCUGAAAAACCUGAUACUUGAUUUCCCAGUCACAUCCUCAGCCCCCAACCCCCUGCAUCUAGAAGCAAUCAGAAGAUCCAGUUGUGGUCAAUGAGAAGCAAAGGGAAAUCCACUGGCGGCUUCUAAGGAAGACUUUCCUCCUUGAUGAAAAGAGAAAGAUGAGAAGAUGCCCAUGUGACAAGAUGACACGAAGUGAAUGACGCAGGCGUGGGACACAGAAUCGGCUACCACUGACUUUCUGGCACUACGUCAGAAGGAGGAUCGUCUGCAUCAGAACCACGGUUGACUACUGGUAACUGAAACCACGGAAAGUGAACCACUGGUUAAGGGGGGGGGACUACCACACUUAACAUUUCCAGAGACCAGGGUGGAUGCCGGCCAGGGCUGUGAACUAGAGGGGUGGUCUCUAGCUAUCUAGUACCGGAUCCUGGGUGAUUAGGGCAGGGAAUAGCACCUCCUGCGUGUAGGAGCCCAAUUAGGGGAGGUAGUUCAGAGUCUGGUAGUUCAGCUCAGAUUGCAUGUUUGCAUAAGAAAGGUGUGCUCCCAACCCUUUGCACUUUCUCAGAAUUGGCCAGCCCUAGGGUGAAGGGUGAGAUGGGAGGGCAGUCUCUCCCCAGUCAGGGAAGCCACACAGGCCAGAGCAUCAAUAUACAAAAUAAGAGGGCCCCUGAGUGGCUCGCUGGUUGAGCUUCUGCCUUUGACUCAGGUCAUGAUCCCAAGGUCCUGGGAUUGAGCAUCACAUUGGGCUCCCUGCUUGGUGGUAACCUGUUUCUCCCUCUACAUGUUUAUUCUCUCUCUCUCUCUUUCUCCCUCUCUGUGUCAAAUAAAUAAAUAGAAUCUUUUUAAAAAAGAAUAUACAGAAUAAGAAAAUGUAGUUAAUGCAGAGGUCACUUCUUCAAUUUGACUGUUGCUGUCAACAGUGGUCAGUGGCAAGUGGUCAUGCCAUUGACAGUGGUCAUGCCAAGU
Molecule: long non-coding RNA, 2379 nt
Organism: Nyctereutes procyonoides (raccoon dog)
Lineage: Eukaryota; Metazoa; Chordata; Mammalia; Carnivora; Canidae
Exons: 3
Source: RefSeq, a predicted model, not a curated record